UACGGAGGGUGCAAGCGUUAAUCGGAAUUACUGGGCGUAAAGCGCAUGCAGGUGGUUUGUUAAGUCAGAUGUGAAAGCCCUGGGCUCAACCUAGGAAUCGCAUUUGAAACUGACAAGCUAGAGUACUGUAGAGGGGGGUAGAAUUUCAGGUGUAGCGGUGAAAUGCGUAGAGAUCUGAAGGAAUACCGGUGGCGAAGGCGGCCCCCUGGAAAGAGACUGACACUCAGAUGCGAAAGCGUGGGUAGCAAACAGG
This 253-nucleotide ribosomal RNA is filed under the name uncultured bacterium. Its description in RNAcentral is "partial 16S ribosomal RNA". It matches the Rfam family "Bacterial small subunit ribosomal RNA", at positions 524 to 776 of the family's 1533-position model. The record is from RNAcentral.